AACGAACGCUGGCGGCAGGCCUAACACAUGCAAGUCGAACGCCCUGGCAACAGGGAGUGGCAGACGGGUGAGUAACGCGUGGGAACGUGCCCUUCGGUUCGGAAUAACUCAGGGAAACUUGAGCUAAUACCGGAUACGUGCGAGAGCAGAAAGAUUUAUCGCCGAAGGAUCGGCCCGCGUCCGAUUAGCUAGUUGGUGAGGUAAUGGCUCACCAAGGCGACGAUCGGUAGCUGGUCUGAGAGGAUGAUCAGCCACACUGGGACUGAGACACGGCCCAGACUCCUACGGGAGGCAGCAGUGGGGAAUAUUGGACAAUGGGCGCAAGCCUGAUCCAGCCAUGCCGCGUGAGUGAUGAAGGCCCCAGGGUUGUAAAGCUCUUUCGCCAGGGACGAUAAUGACGGUACCUGGAUAAGAAGCCCCGGCUAACUUCGUGCCAGCCGCCGCCGUAA
This 449-nucleotide ribosomal RNA is filed under the name uncultured bacterium. Its description in RNAcentral is "partial 16S ribosomal RNA". It matches the Rfam family "Bacterial small subunit ribosomal RNA", at positions 29 to 523 of the family's 1533-position model. The record is from RNAcentral.